This 50-nucleotide ribosomal RNA is filed under the name uncultured fungus. RNAcentral describes it as "partial 5.8S ribosomal RNA". The record is from RNAcentral. Lineage: Eukaryota; Fungi.
ACUUUCAACAACGGAUCUCUGUGGCUCUCGCAUCGAUGAAGAACGCAGAC